AUACGGAGGAUGCAAGCGUUAUCCGGAUUUAUUGGGUUUAAAGGGUGCGUAGGCGGUUCGCUAAGCGGGAGGUGAAAUGCCGGCGCUCAACGUCGGAAGUGCCUCCCGAACUGGUGGACUGGAAUGACUCUGCCGUGGGAGGAAUGUGUAGUGUAGCGGUGAAAUGCUUAGAGAUUACACAGAACACCGAUUGCGAAGGCAUCUCACGAAGGGUUGAUUGACGCUGAGGCACGAAAGCGUGGGGAUCAAACAGGAUUAGAUACCCUGGUAGUCCACGCAGUAAACGAUGAUGGCUAACCGCUGGUUUUUUCGGAUCAGUGGCCAAGCGAAAGCGAUAAGCCAUCCACCUGGGGAGUACGACCGCAAGGUUGAAACUCAAAUGAAUUGACGGGG
Molecule: ribosomal RNA, 393 nt
Filed under: uncultured bacterium
Lineage: Bacteria
Description: partial 16S ribosomal RNA
Rfam family: Bacterial small subunit ribosomal RNA
Source: RNAcentral